Molecule: ribosomal RNA, 177 nt
Filed under: uncultured bacterium
Lineage: Bacteria
Description: partial 16S ribosomal RNA
Rfam family: Bacterial small subunit ribosomal RNA
Source: RNAcentral
CUCCAUGAAGUUGGAUUCGCUAGUAAUCGCGCAUCAGCCAUGGCGCGGUGAAUACGUUCCCGGGCCUUGUACACACCGCCCGUCAAGCCAUGGGAGCCGGGGGUGCCUGAAGUUCGUGACCGCAAGGAGCGACCUAGGGCAAAACUGGUGACUGGGGCUAAGUCGUAACAAGGUAUC